AUCGUUCAACCUCAUAAGAGGUCGCAAGUAAGCCGACUCGGAACGGAUA
Molecule: non-coding RNA, 49 nt
Filed under: unclassified sequences
Description: glnA RNA
Rfam family: Glutamine riboswitch aptamer (glnA leader)
Source: RNAcentral